This 984-nucleotide ribosomal RNA is filed under the name uncultured bacterium. RNAcentral describes it as "bacterial SSU rRNA". It matches the Rfam family "Bacterial small subunit ribosomal RNA", at positions 50 to 1061 of the family's 1533-position model. The record is from RNAcentral.
UACACAUGCAAGUCUGGGGAUGGCAACAUCACCGGCGUACGGGUGCGUAACGCGUAGAUAAUCUGCCUCUAUCUCCGGAAUAACAGUUCUAACGGAUUGCUAAGAACGGAUGAGGCCCGAGUGGUCAAAUGCAAAGGAUAGAGAUGAGUCUGCGUCUGAUUAGCUAGUUGGAAGGGUAAAAGCCUCCCAAGGCGACGAUCAGUAGCUGGUCUGAGAGGAUGAACAGCCACACUGGAACUGAGACACGGUCCAGACUCCUACGGGAGGCAGCAGUGAGGAAUAUUGGUCAAUGGGCGCAAGCCUGAACCAGCAAUGCCGCGUGUAGGACGAAGGGGCUUCGCCCUGUAAACUACUGUCAGAUGGGUUGAAAAGGAAGCAAGGCUUCUGGAGACGGUACCAUCAGAGGAAGGGACGGCUAACUACGUGCCAGCAGCCGCGGUAAUACGUAGGUCCCGAGCGUUGUCCGGAUUUACUGGGUAUAAAGGGUGCGUAGGCGGUUUUGUGCGUCAGAGGUGAAAGGUCAGUGCUUAACAUUGAUACUGCCUUUGAAACGGCGGAACUUGAGUAUGAGAGAGGUUUGUAGAAUUCCUGGUGUAGCGGUGAAAUGCGUAGAUAUCAGGAGGAAUACCGGUGGCGAAGGCGGCAAACUGGCUCAUAACUGACGCUGAGGCACGAAAGCGUGGGGAUCAAACAGGAUUAGAUACCCUGGUAGUCCACGCCUUAAACGAUGUAUGCUUGGUGUUGGUGCAGUGAUGCAUCAGUGCCGUAGGAAAUCUGAUAAGCAUACCACCUGGGGAGUACGAUCGCAAGGUUGAAACUCAAAGGAAUUGACGGGGGCCCGCACAAGCGGUGGAUCAUGUGGUUUAAUUCGAUGCAACGCGAAGAACCUUACCCGGGCUCGAAGUGCUAGUAGUAAAGAGAUGAAAGUCGACUGAACCGUUAAGCCGGUUGCUAGUAGAGGUGCUGCAUGGCUGUCGUCAGCUC